GGAGUGGACACAAGAGAAAUACCAGGAACAUUAGAGGAGUAAACAAAAAGGGGACUGGUAGGGUCAACAGGAGUUAUAUUAGCACUCAUGUUAGCAGCCAUGAACAACAAUUAGUUUAAAAUCAAAAGAUAGUCUCUGUAAUUAGUUUGAAAAACUAAAGUUGUAUCAAAAAUCUCAUGCAAAUCAUAUAGCACCUAAAACAGGAACAGAUUUGCCCUUCUUCUUCGCGACCGGAGAAGAACGGCCUUCGAUUAACAGAAAAAUACCAGUUUCGAGCAGCAGAAACCCUAAAAUCUGAAGUCUCGCCGAAAUCGAGUCGAGGACGUCGGAAAACCAACUCAAAACAUCCAAGCAGUGAAGAUGCGACCAGUUAAUGGUGAUAGAGGUCUCAGAUUAACACUCCAUCUUUAUCGAAAUCAUCACUGACCAAAUAUCUCACACAUACCCGAAAACUAUCCAACGCGAUUUCAACUGGGAUAACAAGAUAUAGCAGAGAAUCGUCGGAUCAUCGUCCCGCUCUGAUACCAUAAAAACAUAGAAGAAUCAAGAUGAAGAUUGAAGAAGAUGAGUCGGUUGAGAGAAGCUUCCAGAGAUCUUCAGAAAAGAAAAGCUUUCAAUAUCAAAAUAUCCGACUGACCCUAUACAGAAGGGUAAGGUGUGUAUAAAACCAAAGUGGGCCAACUCGGGCCAAAGGUAAAACAAAAGAAAAAUGGUCUGACUCUAUGCAGAAGGGUCAGGUGUGUAUAUAACAAAACCGGGCCAACUCGGGCCAAAUGUAAAACAAAAGAAAAAUGGGCUCAGAUGUGUUCUGGCCCAACAUACAUGAUAUACACGAUAUACAAACAGUAUCCAAUAAAUAUACACUACAAAAUCAAUGUAUGUGUCUAGGUUUUGAAGCUAGAUAAUCUUGUAGCUCAACAUGAUAUUAUAUGAUAUACACGAUAUAUAAAUAGUAUACAAUAAAUAUACACUACAAAAUUAAUGUAUGUGUCUAGGUUUUGAAGCUAGAUAAUCUUGUAUCUCAGCAGUAGUUGGGAAAGGAGGGUUUAUGGAGAUUUUGUGGAAGCAAUUGGGUCCAUAUGACUUAUACAAGACGAAUAGUGUUGAAGAAAUUUUUGAUGGUGGAAACCAAAUUUGAGAAAAUUUAAGAUCAGAAAUCCUAGUAUUAAAGUUCUUGUUUAGAAUCUUACAUUGAACUGCAAGCUUCAAAGGCAAAUAGGAGAUGAUUUCCACAACUAAGUCAUCAUUCAGUUCCAUAGUCGCAACAUUUAUUCUUUGCUCUGUUGGGAAUAGCGGUUUGUCUUGCACUUGUUUUCUUCUUUUC
Molecule: long non-coding RNA, 1324 nt
Filed under: Nicotiana benthamiana
Lineage: Eukaryota; Viridiplantae; Streptophyta; Magnoliopsida; Solanales; Solanaceae
Description: long non-coding RNA (NBEN_LNC005827)
Source: RNAcentral